Cyprinus carpio carpio is the source of this 1545-nucleotide long non-coding RNA. Lineage: Eukaryota; Metazoa; Chordata; Actinopteri; Cypriniformes; Cyprinidae. The record is from Ensembl.
CUGAUACCACAUUAACACAACCAAAUAUGUAAAACUGAAUUACAGUUUUGUUUGCGUAAAAAAUACAGUAUGUCAGUCAUUUUUUUUACAUGUACUCUUUUCUUUUUGUUUCCCCCUCUCUAGCUGGUGUUGUGCUGUUAGCGCUGACCCUCAGUAUGGCUUCUUACUCUGACAGCCAGGGGCCGUGAGGGGCCGUUAAGGGCCAUGUGGGCCUGGUUGCAGCUGCUCCAUCUCCUUGCCCACUCAGCAGGCACACUGUGCCCUUUGAGCCCACCUGCCAUUCAAUCCAGCACAGAUGUGCCCUCAGCUGUUCUUGGUGCCAUUACUGCUCCCUGCACUUUUUAUCCUGCACCUCGGAGACCCCAAACUGCCAAACGAGCCAGCCUGACACUGGCCCUUCAUCUUACCUCCUCCACGAGACGAGUGCUCCCAACCUUUGCUUCCCAUGAGAAGAGACAGAGCCGAGAGAAGAGAGCCCCCUCAGCCCAGGCACGCUUCCCCCCAUCAUUAUGAGUUAAGCUUCUCACCUCUACCUUUCUUUCUAAGAGACUCCCUCUCUUUCUUUCUCUCUUCCUCUCUCUUUAUCAUACUGUGGCUUUUUGGCUUUGUGCUAUCUGUUUUCUUUUUGUUGCUCUUUUUUUUUCUGUCUCUGCCUGUCCUUCUUUAUUUUCCUCCACAAGGUUAAUUGCAUUAGCUAAAAGAAACCUGGCCUGUUGGUUGCUUAUGGAGGUUGCCGUUAGGCAUAUGACCCUCACAAAUCUGCUCUGGCCACCUAACACCACAGCUGAGAUAAUAGGGCUGCUGAUGAGGCUUCAAUUGGUGUCCUGGUCUGUUGGGUAUCCCAAAAUAACAGUGAAGCAGUGAUUUAGAGGUAUGAUGUUAUUCCUGUUACGCCUGCUUGCGAGCAGGACUGCUGUGAUCUCUAAAGCGCUAGUAUAAUUGAACAUCCCCAGUGACCCAAAAAAAAAAAAAAGCAAUCAACAUUUUUGUUUUCUAAAUAUUUUUAGAAAAAUGUCAGCCAUGAUGCAUCUAUUCAUCCUCUCUUUAAAAUAGACAGUAAAGUAAAGUAAAGUAGACCUUAGAGUGGCACCAUAUUUAUCAUCUGACAGGAAUGAAAACAAGGAUGUGAGUGAUGGAAGUUCAGUAGGUUGUUUAACAACAUACCGCUUGUUCAGUUAAAAAAUAAAAAAAUCCAAAAUAAGCAAACAAACAAAAGAAUACAAAACAUGUAUGUUAUUUUGGACAUUUAUACAAUGUGUGCCAUUGUAAAGACUAAGUUAAUCUUUCAUGUUAAAUUCAAUAUGGCGUCUAACUUGACUAUGGGUUAAAGGGUUUUAGCCUAAAAUAGUUAGUACCAGUUUGAUUGGCCUAACAACUUUAUAAAUAAAUUAAAUUAAAUUCAAAAUAAAUAAAUAAACAAACAAAUAAGAAGAGACACAUAAUUUGCAGUCACUUUCUCAACAGCAGUAGGCUAUUAUAUAUAUAUAUAUAUAUAUAUAUAUAUAUAUAUGUGCAUGUAAUUUGACGUCACGGACAGGGUAAUAU